Molecule: ribosomal RNA, 439 nt
Filed under: uncultured bacterium
Lineage: Bacteria
Description: bacterial SSU rRNA
Rfam family: Bacterial small subunit ribosomal RNA
Source: RNAcentral
ACGCGCGGAACCUUACCAGGUCUUGACAUCCUCUGACCACCCUAGAGAUAGAAGGUUCCCCUUCGGGGGACGGAGUGACAGGUGGUGCAUGGUUGUCGUCAGCUCGUGUCGUGAGAUGUUGGGUUAAGUCCCGCAACGAGCGCAACCCUUGACCUUAGUUGCCAGCAUUUAGUUGGGCACUCUAAGGUGACUGCCGGUGACAAACCGGAGGAAGGUGGGGAUGACGUCAAAUCAUCAUGCCCCUUAUGACCUGGGCUACACACGUGCUACAAUGGAUGGUACAAAGGGCUGCAAGACUGCGAAGUCAAGCCAAUCCCAUAAAACCAUUCUCAGUUCGGAUUGCAGGCUGCAACUCGCCUGCAUGAAGCCGGAAUCGCUAGUAAUCGCGGAUCAGCAUGCCGCGGUGAAUACGUUCCCGGGCCUUGCACACACCGCCCGU